CGCACAUUGCGCCCACUAGUAUUCUGGUGGGCAUGCCUGUUCGAGCGUCAUCUCAACCAUCGAGCCUUAGUCGCUUAGCGUUGGGGCCCGCCUGUAUCGGCGGCCCUGAAAGCCAUCGGCGGAGUUGCUUUAGGCCCUCAGCGUAGUAAAUCUCUCGCUUUUGGGCCCUGGUGACCCCCGCCGUUAACCCUUCCAAAGUUUGACCUCGGAUCAGGUAGGAAUACCCGCUGAACUUAA
This 237-nucleotide unclassified non-coding RNA is filed under the name Ascomycota sp. RNAcentral's name for it is "partial contains 5.8S ribosomal RNA, internal transcribed spacer 2, and large subunit ribosomal RNA". Lineage: Eukaryota; Fungi; Ascomycota. The record is from RNAcentral.